RNAcentral lists this ribosomal RNA (253 nucleotides) under uncultured bacterium. RNAcentral describes it as "partial 16S ribosomal RNA". It matches the Rfam family "Bacterial small subunit ribosomal RNA", at positions 524 to 776 of the family's 1533-position model. The record is from RNAcentral.
UACGUAGGCUGCGAGCGUUGUUCGGAGUUACUGGGCGUAAAGGGUGUGUAGGCGGUUUUUUUCGUUUGGUGUGAAAUCUCCCGGCUCAACCGGGAGGGUGCGCCGAAUACUGAGGGACUAGAGUACGGGAGAGGAAAGUGGAAUUCCUGGUGUAGCGGUGAAAUGCGUAGAUAUCAGGAGGAACACCGGUGGUGUAGACGGCUUUCUGGACCGUAACUGACGCUGAGACACGAAAGCGUGGGGAGCAAACAGG